GGGAAAAGUGGUAUCGAUCUCGGGCUUCUAACCUUAGGAUUAAGCGGUUGGAUUCCGUUUUUUUCCCU
Molecule: transfer RNA, 68 nt
Filed under: Myadora brevis
Lineage: Eukaryota; Metazoa; Mollusca; Bivalvia; Myochamidae
Description: tRNA-Ser
Source: RNAcentral